This 491-nucleotide ribosomal RNA is filed under the name uncultured bacterium. RNAcentral describes it as "partial 16S ribosomal RNA". It matches the Rfam family "Bacterial small subunit ribosomal RNA", at positions 29 to 506 of the family's 1533-position model. The record is from RNAcentral.
AGUGAACGCUGGCGGUAGGCCUAACACAUGCAAGUCGAACGGCAGCACAGUAAGAGCUUGCUCUUACGGGUGGCGAGUGGCGGACGGGUGAGGAAUACAUCGGAAUCUACUUUUUCGUGGGGGAUAACGUAGGGAAACUUACGCUAAUACCGCAUACGACCUACGGGUGAAAGCAGGGGAUCUUCGGACCUUGCGCGAUUGAAUGAGCCGAUGUCGGAUUAGCUAGUUGGCGGGGUAAAGGCCCACCAAGGCGACGAUCCGUAGCUGGUCUGAGAGGAUGAUCAGCCACACUGGAGCUGAGACACGGUCCAGACGCCUACGGGAGGCAGCAGUGGGGAAUAUUGGACAAUGGGCGUAAGCCUGAUCCAGCCAUACCGCGUGGGUGAAGAAGGCCUUCGGGUUGUAAAGCCCUUUUGUUGGGAAAGAAAAGCAGCAGGUUAAGACCCCGCUGUUCUGACGGUACCCAAAGAAUAAGCACCGGCUAACUUCGU